CCUACGGGAGGCAGCAGUGGGGGAUAUUGCACAAUGGGGGAAACCCUGAUGCAGCGACGCCGCGUGGGUGAAGAAGCGCCUCGGCGCGUAAAGCCCUGUCAGCAGGGAAGAAAAUGACGGUACCUGAAGAAGAAGCCCCGGCUAACUACGUGCCAGCAGCCGCGGUAAUAAGUGGGGGGCAAGCGUGAUCCGGAUAUACUGGGUGUAAAGGGGGCGGAGACGGAGAUGCAAGCCAGGAGUGACAGCCCGGGGCCCAACCCCGGGACUGCUCUUGUAACUGCGUGGUGAGAGUGCAGGAGGGGCAGGCGGAAUUACUGGUGUAGCGGUGAAAUGCGUAGAUAUCAGGAGGCACACCGGUGGCGAAGGCGGCCUGCUGGACUGCAACUGACGUUGAGGCCCGAAAGCGUGGGGAGCAAACAGGAUUAGAUACCCGAGUAGUC
RNAcentral lists this ribosomal RNA (440 nucleotides) under uncultured bacterium. Its description in RNAcentral is "partial 16S ribosomal RNA". It matches the Rfam family "Bacterial small subunit ribosomal RNA", at positions 338 to 795 of the family's 1533-position model. The record is from RNAcentral.